UACGUAGGUGGCAAGCGUUAUCCGGAUUUAUUGGGCGUAAAGGGAACGCAGGCGGUCUUUUAAGUCUGAUGUGAAAGCCUUCGGCUUAACCGGAGUAGUGCAUUGGAAACUGGGAGACUUGAGUGCAGAAGAGGAGAGUGGAACUCCAUGUGUAGCGGUGAAAUGCGUAGAUAUAUGGAAGAGCACCAGUGGCGAAAGCGGCUCUCUGGUCUGUAACUGACGCUGAGGUUCGAAAGCGUGGGUAGCAAACAGG
Molecule: ribosomal RNA, 253 nt
Filed under: uncultured bacterium
Lineage: Bacteria
Description: partial 16S ribosomal RNA
Rfam family: Bacterial small subunit ribosomal RNA
Source: RNAcentral